AGUGAACGCUGGCGGUAGGCCUAACACAUGCAAGUCGAACGGCAGCACAGUAAGAGCUUGCUCUUACGGGUGGCGAGUGGCGGACGGGUGAGGAAUACAUCGGAAUCUACUUUUUCGUGGGGGAUAACGUAGGGAAACUUACGCUAAUACCGCAUACGACCUACGGGUGAAAGCAGGGGAUCUUCGGACCUUGCGCGAUUGAAUGAGCCGAUGUCGGAUUAGCUAGUUGGCGGGGUAAAGGCCCACCAAGGCGACGAUCCGUAGCUGGUCUGAGAGGAUGAACAGACAAACUGGAAAUGAGACACGGUCCAGACUCCUAAGGGAGGCAGCAGUGGGGAAUAAUGGACAAUGGGCGGAAGCCUGAUCCAGCCAUACCGCGUGGGUGAAGAAGGCCUUCGGGUUGUAAAGCCCUUUUGUUGGGAAAGAAAAGCAGCAGGUUAAUACCCCGCUGUUCUGACGGUACCCAAAGAAUAAGCACCGGCUAACUUCGUG
RNAcentral lists this ribosomal RNA (492 nucleotides) under uncultured bacterium. RNAcentral's name for it is "partial 16S ribosomal RNA". It matches the Rfam family "Bacterial small subunit ribosomal RNA", at positions 29 to 507 of the family's 1533-position model. The record is from RNAcentral.